RNAcentral lists this ribosomal RNA (523 nucleotides) under uncultured Verrucomicrobiae bacterium. RNAcentral's name for it is "bacterial SSU rRNA". It matches the Rfam family "Bacterial small subunit ribosomal RNA", at positions 77 to 596 of the family's 1533-position model. Lineage: Bacteria; Pseudomonadati; Verrucomicrobiota; Verrucomicrobiia. The record is from RNAcentral.
AGCUUGCUAAUUUCAUUCUUAGUGGCGGACGGGUUAGUAACACGUGAGAUACAUACCCUUUAGACAGGAAUAGCCCAUGGAAACGUGGAUUAAUGCCUGAUAGACUCUACGGAGUAAAGGAUGCCUUCGGGUAUCGCUAAAGGAUUGGCUCGCGGCCUAUCAGCUUGUUGGUGAGGUAAAGGCUCACCAAGGCGACGACGGGUAGCUGGUCUGAGAGGACGAUCAGCAACACUGGAACUGAGACACGGUCCAGACACCUACGGGUGGCAGCAGUCGAGAAUCAUUCACAAUGGAGGCAACUCUGAUGGUGCAACGCCGCGUGGAGGAUGACGGUCCUAGGAUUGUAAACUCCUGUCAUUGGGGAGUAAGACUUAAGCGUUAAUAGCGCCUUAAGUUUGAUAGUACCCAAAGAGGAAGGGACGGCUAACUUCGUGCCAGCAGCCGCGGUAAUACGAAGGUCCCAAGCGUUGUUCGGAAUAACUGGGCGUAAAGCGUGUGUAGGCUGCGCGGAAAGUCAAAUGUG